RNAcentral lists this ribosomal RNA (53 nucleotides) under Cycas taitungensis. The record is from RNAcentral. Lineage: Eukaryota; Viridiplantae; Streptophyta; Cycadopsida; Cycadales; Cycadaceae.
GCCGGGCACUAAGGUAAGACAUGUAAACACCUGAUCCCAUUCCGACCUCGAUA